ACUCCUACGGGAGGCAGCAGUGGGGAAUAUUGCACAAUGGGCGCAAGCCUGAUGCAGCCAUGCCGCGUGUAUGAAGAAGGCCUUCGGGUUGUAAAGUACUUUCAGCGGGGAGGAAGGGAGUAAAGUUAAUACCUUUGCUCAUUGACGUUACCCGCAGAAGAAGCACCGGCUAACUCCGUGCCAGCAGCCGCGGUAAUACGGAGGG
This 205-nucleotide ribosomal RNA is filed under the name uncultured bacterium. RNAcentral describes it as "partial 16S ribosomal RNA". It matches the Rfam family "Bacterial small subunit ribosomal RNA", at positions 335 to 532 of the family's 1533-position model. The record is from RNAcentral.